This 258-nucleotide ribosomal RNA is filed under the name uncultured bacterium. RNAcentral's name for it is "partial 16S ribosomal RNA". It matches the Rfam family "Bacterial small subunit ribosomal RNA", at positions 524 to 777 of the family's 1533-position model. The record is from RNAcentral.
UACAGAGGGUGCAAGCGUUUAAUCGGAAUUACUGGGCGUAAAAGGGCGCGUAGGCGGAUAGUUAAGUGAGAUGUGAAAUCCCUGGGCUUAACCUAGGAACUGCAUCUGAAAACUGGCUGUCUGGAGUGCGGUAGAGGGUAGUGGAAUUUCCGGUGUAGCGGUGAAAUGCGUAGAUAUCGGAAGGAACACCAGUGGCGAAGGCGGCUACCUGGACUGACACUGACGCUGGAGGCGCGAGAGCGUGGGGAGCAAACAGGG